Molecule: ribosomal RNA, 450 nt
Filed under: uncultured bacterium
Lineage: Bacteria
Description: partial 16S ribosomal RNA
Rfam family: Bacterial small subunit ribosomal RNA
Source: RNAcentral
GUGGGGAAUAUUGGACAAUGGGCGAAAGCCUGAUCCAGCCAUGCCGCGUGUGUGAAGAAGGUCUUCGGAUUGUAAAGCACUUUAAGUUGGGAGGAAGGGCAGUAAGUUAAUACCUUGCUGUUUUGACGUUACCGACAGAAUAAGCACCGGCUAACUCUGUGCCAGCAGCCGCGGUAAUACAGAGGGUGCAAGCGUUAAUCGGAAUUACUGGGCGUAAAGCGCGCGUAGGUGGUUUUGUAAGUUGGAGGUGAAAUCCCCGGGCUCAACCUGGGAACUGCCUCCAAAACUGCAUGACUAGAGUACGGUAGAGGGUAGUGGAAUUUCCUGUGUAGCGGUGAAAUGCGUAGAUAUAGGAAGGAACACCAGUGGCGAAGGCGACUACCUGGACUGAUACUGACACUGAGGUGCGAAAGCGUGGGGAGCAAACAGGAUUAGAAACCCCUGUAGUCC